RNAcentral lists this ribosomal RNA (443 nucleotides) under uncultured Pseudomonadota bacterium. RNAcentral describes it as "bacterial SSU rRNA". It matches the Rfam family "Bacterial small subunit ribosomal RNA", at positions 948 to 1382 of the family's 1533-position model. Lineage: Bacteria; Pseudomonadati; Pseudomonadota. The record is from RNAcentral.
AAUUCGAUGCUAACCGAAGAACCUUACCUGGACUUGACAUCCCUGGAACCUGGUAGAGAUACUGGGGUGCCCUGCUUGCAGGGAACCAGGAGACAGGUGCUGCAUGGCUGUCGUCAGCUCGUGCCGUGAGGUGUUGGGGUUAAGUCCCGCAACGAGCGCAACCCCUGCACUUAGUUGCCAUCAGGUCAAGCUGGGCACUCUAAGUGGACAGCCGGCGUAAGCCGGAGGAAGGUGGGGAUGACGUCAAGUCAUCAUGGCCUUUAUGUCCAGGGCUACACACGUGCUACAAUGGCGCAUACAGAGGGCAGCGAAGCCGUGAGGUGGAGCGAAUCUUGUCAAAGUGCGCCUCAAUUCGGAUUGCAGUCUGCAACUCGACUGCAUGAAGUUGGAAUCGCUAGUAAUCGCGGAUCAGCAAAGCCGCGGUGAAUACGUUCCCGGGCCUU